UACGGAGAGUGCAAGCGUUAUCCGGAUUCACUGGGUUUAAAGGGUGCGUAGGUGGGCAAGUAAGUCAGUGGUGAAAUCUCCGGGCUUAACCCGGAAACUGCCAUUGAUACUAUUUGUCUUGAAUACUGUGGAGGUCAGCGGAAUAUGUCAUGUAGCGGUGAAAUGCUUAGAUAUGACAUAGAACACCAAUUGCGAAGGCAGCUGGCUACAGAAAUAUUGACACUGAGGCACGAAAGCGUGGGGAUCAAACAGG
RNAcentral lists this ribosomal RNA (253 nucleotides) under uncultured bacterium. RNAcentral's name for it is "partial 16S ribosomal RNA". It matches the Rfam family "Bacterial small subunit ribosomal RNA", at positions 524 to 776 of the family's 1533-position model. The record is from RNAcentral.